This 388-nucleotide ribosomal RNA is filed under the name uncultured bacterium. RNAcentral's name for it is "partial 16S ribosomal RNA". It matches the Rfam family "Bacterial small subunit ribosomal RNA", at positions 523 to 918 of the family's 1533-position model. The record is from RNAcentral.
AUACGUAGGUGGCAAGCGUUAUCCGGAUUUAUUGGGCGUAAAGGGUGCGCAGGCGGUCUGUUUAGUCUGAGGUGAAAGCUUUGAGCUUAACUCAAUUAAGCCUCUGAUACUGGCAGACUUGAGUGCAGAAGAGGGUUAUGGAAUUCCAUGUGUAGCGGUAAAAUGCGUAGAUAAAUGGAGGAACACCAGCGGCGAAGGCGGUAAGCUGGUCUGGUACUGACGCUAAGGCACGAAAGCGUAGGGAGAAAAUAGGAUUAGAUACCCUAGUAGUCCACGCACUAAACGAUGAUUACUAAAUGUUGGGGAAACUCAGUGUUGCAGCUAACGCAAUAAGUAAUCCGCCUGGGGAGUAUGCACGCAAGAGUGAAACUUAAAGGAAUUGACGGGG